AUCGCUUCUCGGCCUUUUGGCUAAGAUCAAGUGUAAUAUCUGUUCUUAUCAGUUUAAUAUCUGAUACGCCCCCUAUCUGGGGGCCAUAUAUUAAAUGGAUUUUUAGAACAGGGAGAUGGAAGAAGAGCUUGCUCUGUCCACUCCACGCAUUGACCUGGUAUUGUAGUACCUCCAGGACCGGUGCAAAAAAA
RNAcentral lists this small nuclear RNA (191 nucleotides) under Leptobrachium leishanense (Leishan spiny toad). RNAcentral describes it as "U2 spliceosomal RNA (ENSLLEG00000023768.1)". It matches the Rfam family "U2 spliceosomal RNA". From Rfam's summary of the family: U2 is a small nuclear RNA (snRNA) component of the spliceosome (involved in pre-mRNA splicing). The record is from Rfam by way of RNAcentral. Lineage: Eukaryota; Metazoa; Chordata; Amphibia; Anura; Megophryidae.